CGCUGGCGGCGUGCCUAAUACAUGCAAGUCGAGCGCGGGAAGCGGACAAUCACCCUUCGGGGUGUGCGUCCGUGGAACGAGCGGCGGAUGGGUGAGUAUCACGUGGGCAACCUGCCUGUAAGAUUGGGAUAACUCGCGGAAACGUGAGCUAAUACCGAAUGAAGUCUUUCACCGCCUGGUGAAAGGAUGAAAGAUGGCUCUUGAGCUAUCACUUACAGAUGGGCCCGCGGCGCAUUAGCUAGGUUGGUGGGGUAAAGGCCUACCAAGGCGACGAUGCGUAGCCGACCUGAGAGGGUGAUCGGCCACACUGGGACUGAGACACGGCCCAGACUCCUACGGGAGGCAGCAGUAGGGAAUCUUCCGCAAUGGACGAAAGUCUGACGGAGCAACGCCGCGUGAGUGAUGAAGGUCUUCGGAUCGUAAAACUCUGUUGUCGGGGAAGAACAAGUUGUGUUCUAACAGGACAUGACCUUGACGGUACCUGACCAGAAAGCCCCGGCUAACUACGUGCCAGCCGCCGC
Molecule: ribosomal RNA, 521 nt
Filed under: uncultured bacterium
Lineage: Bacteria
Description: bacterial SSU rRNA
Rfam family: Bacterial small subunit ribosomal RNA
Source: RNAcentral